CGGAGGGCUAGCGUUGUUCGGAAUUACUGGGCGUAAAGCGCACGUAGGCGGCUUUGUAAGUUAGAGGUGAAGCCUGGAGCUUAACUCCAGAACUGCCUUUAAGACUGCAUCGCUUGAAUCCAGGAGAGGUGAGUGGAAUUCCGAGUGUAGAGGUGAAAUUCGUAGAUAUUCGGAAGAACACCAGUGGCGAAGGCGGCUCACUGGACUGGUAUUGACGCUGAGGUGCGAAAGCGUGGGAGCAAACAGGAUU
This 250-nucleotide ribosomal RNA is filed under the name uncultured bacterium. Its description in RNAcentral is "partial 16S ribosomal RNA". It matches the Rfam family "Bacterial small subunit ribosomal RNA", at positions 528 to 779 of the family's 1533-position model. The record is from RNAcentral.